This 429-nucleotide ribosomal RNA is filed under the name Chloroflexota bacterium. Its description in RNAcentral is "Chloroflexi bacterium partial 16S ribosomal RNA". It matches the Rfam family "Bacterial small subunit ribosomal RNA", at positions 355 to 776 of the family's 1533-position model. Lineage: Bacteria; Bacillati; Chloroflexota. The record is from RNAcentral.
UGGGGAAUAUUGCACAAUGGGCGCAAGCCUGAUGCAGCCAUGCCGCGUGUGUGAAGAAGGCCUUCGGGUUGUAAAGCACUUUCAGCGGGGAGGAAGGCGGUGAGGUUAAUAACCUCAUCGAUUGACGUUACCCGCAGAAGAAGCACCGGCUAACUCCGUGCCAGCAGCCGCGGUAAUACGGAGGGUGCAAGCGUUAAUCGGAAUUACUGGGCGUAAAGCGCACGCAGGCGGUCUGUCAAGUCGGAUGUGAAAUCCCCGGGCUCAACCUGGGAACUGCAUUCGAAACUGGCAGGCUAGAGUCGUGUAGAGGGGGGUAGAAUUCCAGGUGUAGCGGUGAAAUGCGUAGAGAUAUGGAGGAAUACCGGUGGCGAAGGCGGCCCCCUGGACAAAGACUGACGCUCAGGUGCGAAAGCGUGGGGAGCAAACAGG